RNAcentral lists this ribosomal RNA (61 nucleotides) under Gilliamella apicola. RNAcentral's name for it is "partial 23S ribosomal RNA". Lineage: Bacteria; Pseudomonadati; Pseudomonadota; Gammaproteobacteria; Orbales; Orbaceae. The record is from RNAcentral.
GUUGUAAGGUUAAGAAAUUAAGCGUACACGGUGGAUGCCUAGGCAAUCAGAGGCGAAGAAG